This 443-nucleotide ribosomal RNA is filed under the name Perissolestes remotus. RNAcentral describes it as "partial 16S ribosomal RNA". It matches the Rfam family "Bacterial large subunit ribosomal RNA", at positions 1926 to 2585 of the family's 2925-position model. Lineage: Eukaryota; Metazoa; Arthropoda; Insecta; Odonata; Perilestidae. The record is from RNAcentral.
AACGGCCGCGGUAUUUUGACCGUGCAAAGGUAGCAUAAUCAUUAGUCUUUUAAAAGGAGGCUGGAAUGAAUGGUUUGACGAAACAUUAGCUGUCUCAUUUAUUUUAUUAGAACUUAAUUUUUUAGUUAAAAAGCUGAAAUUUUUUUGGAAGACGAGAAGACCCUAUAGAGCUUUAUAUUAAAUUGUAUUUAUUUGAACAUUUAUUUUGAAUAUAUGUUUUAAUAUUGUGUUGGGGUGACAAGAAUAUAUAAUUAACUUUUCUAUAUUAAUUUCAUUUAUUUAUGUUUAUUUAGAUCCUUUAUUAUUGAUUUUUAGAUCAAGUUACCUUAGGGAUAACAGCGUAAUCUUCCUUCAGAGCUCAAAUUUACAGGAAGGCUUGCGACCUCGAUGUUGGAUUAAGAUUAUAAUAGGGUGUAGCCGCUUAAUUUAUGGGUCUGUUCGAC